UAUAACUGCACAUAAACUGUACUAAAUUGGAUUGAUACAGAGAAGAUUAACAUAGCUCCUGCUAAAGGAUGACACGCAAAUCCGUGACAGUAAUGCAACCUCU
Small nuclear RNA from Ictalurus furcatus (blue catfish), 103 nucleotides. The record is from RefSeq and is a predicted model, not a curated record. NCBI's taxonomy places the organism in Eukaryota, Metazoa, Chordata, Actinopteri, Siluriformes, Ictaluridae.